Molecule: ribosomal RNA, 1356 nt
Filed under: uncultured bacterium
Lineage: Bacteria
Description: bacterial SSU rRNA
Rfam family: Bacterial small subunit ribosomal RNA
Source: RNAcentral
AUUGAACGCUGGCGGUAGGCUUAACACAUGCAAGUCGUGCGAGAAAGUAUCUUCGGAUAUGAGUAGAGCGGCGGACGGGUGAGUAACGCGUAGGAAUCUACCUAGUAGAAGGGGAUAGCCCGGGGAAACCCGGAUUAAUACCGUAUACCUCCUUCGGGAGAAAGAAGGCCUCUCUUUGAAGCUUUCGCUAUUAGAUGAGCCUGCGUAAGAUUAGCUUGUUGGUGAGGUAAAGGCUCACCAAGGCGACGAUCUUUAGCUGGUCUGAGAGGACGAUCAGCCACAUUGGGACUGAGACACGGCCCAGACUCCUACGGGAGGCAGCAGUGGGGAAUAUUGGACAAUGGGCGCAAGCCUGAUCCAGCCAUACCGCGUGUGUGAAGAAGGCCUUCGGGUUGUAAAGCACUUUAAGCAGGGAGAAAAAGUUAUAAGUUAAUACCUUAUAACCCUGAUGUUACCUGCAGAAUAAGCACCGGCUAAUUCCGUGCCAGCAGCCGCGGUAAUACGGAAGGUGCAAGCGUUAAUCGGAAUUACUGGGCGUAAAGCGCGCGUAGGUGGUUUGUUAAGUUGGAUGUGAAAGCCCUGGGCUCAACCUAGGAACUGCAUCCAAAACUAACUCACUAGAGUACGAUAGAGGGAGGUAGAAUUCAUAGUGUAGCGGUGGAAUGCGUAGAUAUUAUGAAGAAUACCAGUGGCGAAGGCGGCCUCCUGGAUCUGUACUGACACUGAGGUGCGAAAGCGUGGGUAGCGAACAGGAUUAGAUACCCUGGUAGUCCACGCCGUAAACGAUGACAACUAGCUGUUGGGAGACUAUGUCUUUCAGUGGCGCAGCUAACGCUUUAAGUUGUCCGCCUGGGGAGUACGGCCGCAAGGCUAAAACUCAAAUGAAUUGACGGGGACCCGCACAAGCGGUGGAGCAUGUGGUUUAAUUCGAUGCAACGCGAAAAACCUUACCUACUCUUGACAUACUUGGAGGCUCUUGUAAUGAGAGUGUGCCUUUUGGAACCAAGAUACAGGUGCUGCAUGGCUGUCGUCAGCUCGUGUCGUGAGAUGUUCCGUUAAGUCGGAUAACGAGCGCAACCCUUACCCUUAUUUGCCAGCGAUUCGGUCGGGAACUAUAAGGGGACUGCCGGUGAUAAACCGGAGGAAGGUGAGGACGACGUCAAGUCAUCAUGGCCCUUACGAGUAGGGCUACACACGUGCUACAAUGGGAGAUACAGACGGACGCUAAGCCGCGAGGUGGUGCUAAUCCUAAAAAGUCUUUCGUAGUCCGGAUUGGAGUCUGCAACUCGACUCCAUGAAGUCGGAAUCGCUAGUAAUCGCGGAUCAGCAUGCCGCGGUGAAUACGUUCUCGGGUCU